This 484-nucleotide ribosomal RNA is filed under the name uncultured bacterium. RNAcentral's name for it is "partial 16S ribosomal RNA". It matches the Rfam family "Bacterial small subunit ribosomal RNA", at positions 29 to 507 of the family's 1533-position model. The record is from RNAcentral.
AUUGAACGCUGGCGGCAUGCUUUACACAUGCAAGUCGAACGGCAGCGCGGGCUUCGGCCUGGCGGCGAGUGGCGAACGGGUGAGUAAUACAUCGGAACGUGCCCAGUAGUGGGGGAUAGCUCGGCGAAAGCCGGAUUAAUACCGCAUACGACCUGAGGGUGAAAGCGGGGGAUCUUCGGACCCAGCGCUAUUGGCGCGGCCGAUGGCAGAUUAGCUAGUUGGUUGGGUAAAGGCCUACCAAGGCGACGAUCUGUAGCUGGUCUGAGAGGACGACCAGCCACACUGGAACUGAGACACGGCCCAGACUCCUACGGGAGGCAGCAGUGGGGAAUUUUGGACAAUGGGCGAAAGCCUGAUCCAGCAAUGCCGCGUGUGUGAUGAAGGCCUUCGGGUUGUAAAGCACUUUUGGCGGGAACGAAAAGGACUGUGCCAAUACCACGGUUCGAUGACGGUACCCGCAGAAUAAGCACCGGCUAACUACGUG